CCCCUGUGCAAAUGCCCUAACCCCCCGCCCGAGGAUUAGGAGCUGGUAUCAGGCACACCUAUUAAAGCCCAUAACACCUUGCUAAGCCACACCCCUAAGGGAAUUCAGCAGUGAUAGACAUUAAGCCCUGAGUGAAAACUCGACUAAGUUAAAGCUAACAGAACCGGUUAAUCUCGUGCCAGCCACCGCGGUUAUACGAGAGGUUCAAGUUGACACCCACCGGCGUAAAGCGUGGUUAGGUGAACCCCUCCCCCCCCCACUAAAGUCGAACGUCCCCCUCGCUGUUAUAUGCCUACGAAGAUAUGAAGCCCAACUACGAAAGUGACUCUACAACACUGAACCCACGAAAGCUAAGGCACAAACUGGGAUUAGAUACCCCAUUAUGCUAAGCCCUAAACCCUGACAGUACUUAACCCAUGCUGUCCGCCCGGGAAUUACGAGCAUGAGCUUGAAACCCAAAGGACUUGGCGGUGCUUUAGAACCACCUAGAGGAGCCUGUCCUAUAACCGAUAACCCCCGUUUAACCUCACCUUUUUUAGCCUCCCCCGCCUAUAUACCGCCGUCGUCAGCUUACCCUCCGAGGGAUCAACAGUUAGCUCAAUUGGCACAGCCUAAAACGCCAGGUCGAGGUGUAGCGCAUGAAGAGGGAAGAGAUUGGCUACAUUCUCUCAAGAAGAGAAUACGAAUGACCCCGCCCACUGAAACGUGAAUCUGAAGGAGGAUUUAGCAGUAACCAGAAAACAAAGAGUUCCGUUGAAUUUGGCCCUGAAGCGCGCACACACCGCCCGUCACUCUCCCCUAAGCCUAAGAUAAUAAAACAUAUUAACACACACAUGCAAAAGGGGAGGCAAGUCGUAACAUGGUAAGUGUACCGGAAGGUGCCCUUGGAAAA
This 892-nucleotide non-coding RNA is filed under the name Suggrundus meerdervoortii (big eyed flathead). RNAcentral's name for it is "partial 12S ribosomal RNA". It matches the Rfam family "Bacterial small subunit ribosomal RNA", at positions 308 to 1522 of the family's 1533-position model. Lineage: Eukaryota; Metazoa; Chordata; Actinopteri; Perciformes; Platycephalidae. The record is from RNAcentral.